Long non-coding RNA from Lutzomyia longipalpis, 290 nucleotides. RefSeq lists it as uncharacterized. NCBI's taxonomy places the organism in Eukaryota, Metazoa, Arthropoda, Insecta, Diptera, Psychodidae. The transcript is spliced from 2 exons. The record is from RefSeq and is a predicted model, not a curated record.
UCUUUGGAAAUUAAUUUGGCGAGUAUAGCAGACUUUCUGGGUCUUCAAAAAGAAAAGCUAACCUCAAAGUUGUCCUGUUAUUCCGGAACAUUCGAAACUCUUCGAGACAGUCAAAAUAAACAGGACUUCACUGCGUAGGAAAAGUCUCUUGGCUUGUACCAGGACUUGUGUGAAGCCUCACUCGACCAUCCUCGUCAAAGAACCACUCUGGAGCUGUUGUAUCUCCGGACUUUGCAACUGUAAAAAACAAAUCAUUUUAAUUAAUAUUUAAUAAAUUGUAAAACAAAAUA